UACUCCUACGGGAGGCAGCAGUAGGGAAUCUUGCGCAAUGGGCGAAAGCCUGACGCAGCCAUGCCGCGUGAAUGAUGAAGGUCUUAGAAUUGUAAAAUUCUUUCACCGGGGAAGAUAAUGACGGUACCCGGAGAAGAAGCCCCGGCUAACUUCGUGCCAGCAGCCGCGGUAAU
This 173-nucleotide ribosomal RNA is filed under the name bacterium enrichment culture DGGE band B1. RNAcentral describes it as "partial 16S ribosomal RNA". It matches the Rfam family "Bacterial small subunit ribosomal RNA", at positions 334 to 524 of the family's 1533-position model. The record is from RNAcentral.